CAAUAGCGUAUAUUAAAGUUGUUGCGGUUAAAAAGCUCGUAGUUGGAUUUCUGCUGAGAACGACCGGUCCGCCCUCUGGGUGUGUAUCUGGCUCUUUCUUGGCAUCUUCUUGGUGAACGUUGCUGCACUUGACUGUGUGGAGCGCUACCCAGGACUUUUACUUUGAGGAAAUUAGAGUGUUUCAAGCAAGCGCACGCCUUGAAUACAUUAGCAUGGAAUAAUAAGAUAGGACCUCGGUUCUAUUUUGUUGGUUUCUAGAGCUGAGGUAAUGAUUGAUAGGGAUAGUUGGGGGCAUUCGUAUUUAACUGUCAGAGGUGAAAUUCUUGGAUUUGUUAAAGACGGACUACUGCGAAANCANNNGCGAAGGAUGUUUUCAUNGA
RNAcentral lists this ribosomal RNA (380 nucleotides) under uncultured eukaryote. RNAcentral's name for it is "partial 18S ribosomal RNA". It matches the Rfam family "Eukaryotic small subunit ribosomal RNA", at positions 592 to 976 of the family's 1831-position model. The record is from RNAcentral.